Long non-coding RNA from Hyaena hyaena (striped hyena), 557 nucleotides. RefSeq lists it as uncharacterized. The transcript is spliced from 2 exons. The record is from RefSeq and is a predicted model, not a curated record. Lineage: Eukaryota; Metazoa; Chordata; Mammalia; Carnivora; Hyaenidae.
UCAUCGCACAAUCGGCUUGUCCCCGAGGCCGCAUUUAACCUUCCUUGGACAUCUCUGAGCCACCCGUCCUCUUUUACCUUGUAAGGAGAAUGGCACCUCCCUCUCUUCCUGAAAUGCUGCUUUCAACACUGGCUCUAAAUUUAGAGCUAAAAAGAAGUUUGCAGGUUUUGUAGCUUCUACCUCCCUCCUCUGUGGACAUAGCGAGGGGCUGCGAUCCAACAGCCUCCCCAGGGCCAACAUCACAACCUCAAGCCUUUGAAGCAGGAGUAGUUUCUCGAGAGCCUCAAGGCUGUAACAUGGGCCACGGACGUCAGGGAGGCACAUAGGCUUCCACAAGGCGUGGAUGAUGAGCAUGGAUUAGUCUCUUACUGCUGCCGUAACAAACUACCACAACCAGAGUGCUUCGAACAACAUGAAUUUAUUAUCUUAUAUGGGCAUCCAACCUAUACUGCAGGUUUGGUUCUAGACCAACGCUUCAUUAGGCAAAUAUCACAAUCAAGCAAACCAAAUGCAUUUUUUGGUUCUCCACUGCAUAUAAAGGUCAUGUUUACACCACA